GGUCUGAGAGGAUGAUCAGCCACACUUGAACUGAGACACGGUCCAGACUCCUACGGGAGGCAGCAGUGGGGAAUAUUGCGCAAUGGGCGAAAGCCUGACGCAGCCAUGCCGCGUGUGUGAAGAAGGCCUUAGGGUUGUAAAGCACUUUCAAUUGGGAAGAAAAGUUGAUCGUUAAUAGCGGUCAGCCCUGACAUUACCUUUAGAAGAAGCACCGGCUAACUCCGUGCCAGCAGCCGCGGUAAUACGAAGGUGGCGAGCGUUGUUCGGAAUCACUGGGCAUAAAGGGCACGCAGGCGGCGGCUUAAGUUAGUUGUGAAAUACCCAGGCUCAACCUGGGGAACGCAACUAAAACUGAGUUGCUUGAGCACGGAAGGGGAAGGUAGAAUUCCAGGUGGAGCGGUGAAAUGCGUAGAUAUCUGGAGGAAUACCAGAGGCGAAGGCGGCCUUCUGGUCCGUUGCUGACGCUGAGGUGCGAAAGCUAGGGGAGCAAACAGGAUUAGAUACCCUGGUAGUCCUAGCUGUAAACGAUGUGCACUAGGUAGAGGACGUACUCUGCGUUCUUUGCCGGAGCAAAUGUAUUAAGUGCACCGCCUGGGGAGUACAGUCGCAAGGCCGAAACUCAAAGGAAUUGACGGGGGCUCACACAAGCGGUGGAGCAUGUUGUUUAAUUCGAAACAACGCGCAGAACCUUACCCAGACUUGACAUGUUGGUGGUACGAGGAUGAAAGUCCAAGGACCCGGUAACGGGAGCCAGCACAGGUGUUGCAUGGCUGUCGUCAGCUCGUGUCGUGAGAUGUUAGGUUAAGUCCUGUAACGAGCGAAACCCCUAUCGUCUAGUUGCCACCGGGUAAUGCCGGGCACUCUAGCGAGACUGCCGAUCCAAACCGGAGGAAGGAGGGGAUGACGUCAAGUCCUCAUGGCCCUUACGUCUGGGGCUACAAACGUGCUACAAUGGCUGGUACAAAGGGCAGCGAACUCGCAAGGGCAAGCGAAUCCCAAAAAGCCAGUCUCAGUUCGGAUUGCAGGCUGCAACUCGCCUGCAUGAAGUUGGAAUCGCUAGUAAUCGCGGAUCAGCUACGCCGCGGUGAAUAUGUUCCUGAGCCUUGUACACACCGCCCGUCAAGCCACGAGAGCGGGCAGUACCCGAAGUCGCUGACCCAACCCGCAAGGGAGGGAAGUGCCGACGGUAAGGCUCGUGAUUGGGACUAAGUCGUAACAAGGUA
Molecule: ribosomal RNA, 1223 nt
Filed under: metagenome
Description: bacterial SSU rRNA
Rfam family: Bacterial small subunit ribosomal RNA
Source: RNAcentral